GUUACAGUGGUUCAGUUGCAUCGGAAACACGGAACCACUCUAUUAGUAAAGAGUUGCUCUAGGGUAAAGAUGAGGUUGGGCCCAAUAACUAUUAGGUGAGGGACCCAAUGAUGGCUUUACACCUACUUGUGAAUAGUGGGUCUGACUUAACUAAGGAGUGUGGGCAAUAACUAUUAAGUGAGCCCACAUGACCUAGAGAUCAAGUCGCUACAACAU
This 216-nucleotide long non-coding RNA is filed under the name Elaeis guineensis (African oil palm). RNAcentral describes it as "long non-coding RNA (EGUI_LNC063530)". The record is from RNAcentral. Lineage: Eukaryota; Viridiplantae; Streptophyta; Magnoliopsida; Arecales; Arecaceae.